UGAGUAACGCGUGGGAAUCUACCCAUCUCUACGGAAUAACGUGGAAACGUGUGCUAUACCGUAUACGCCCUUCGGGGGAAAGAUUUAUCGGAAUGGAUGAGCCCGCGUUGGAUUACUAGUUGGUGGGGUAAAGGCCUACCAAGGGACAUCCAUAGCUGGUCUGAGAGGAUGAUCAGCACACUGGGACUGAACGGCCAGACUCCUACGGGAGGCAGGGGAAUAUUGACAAUGGGCGCAAGCCUGAUCCAGCUGCCGCGUGUGUGAUGAAGGCCCUAGGUUGUAAAGCACUUUCACCGGAAAGAUAAUGACGUAUCCGGAAAGAAGCCCCGGC
RNAcentral lists this ribosomal RNA (331 nucleotides) under Phyllobacterium sp. RNAcentral's name for it is "bacterial SSU rRNA". It matches the Rfam family "Bacterial small subunit ribosomal RNA", at positions 107 to 497 of the family's 1533-position model. Lineage: Bacteria; Pseudomonadati; Pseudomonadota; Alphaproteobacteria; Hyphomicrobiales; Phyllobacteriaceae. The record is from RNAcentral.